This 381-nucleotide ribosomal RNA is filed under the name uncultured bacterium. RNAcentral describes it as "bacterial SSU rRNA". It matches the Rfam family "Bacterial small subunit ribosomal RNA", at positions 524 to 904 of the family's 1533-position model. The record is from RNAcentral.
UACGAAGGGGGCUAGCGUUGCUCGGAAUGACUGGGCGUAAAGGGCGCGUAGGCGGAUUAUUCAGUCAGGCGUGAAAUUCCUGGGCUCAACCUGGGGACUGCGUUUGAGACGGGUAGUCUUGAGUUCGGAAGAGGGUCGUGGAAUUCCCAGUGUAGAGGUGAAAUUCGUAGAUAUUGGGAAGAACACCGGUGGCGAAGGCGGCGACCUGGUCCGAUACUGACGCUGAGGCGCGAAAGCGUGGGGAGCAAACAGGAUUAGAUACCCUGGUAGUCCACGCUGUAAACGAUGUGUGCUGGAUGUUGGGUGACCUAGUCACUCAGUGUCGUAGCUAACGCGAUAAGCACACCGCCUGGGGAGUACGGCCGCAAGGUUGAAACUCAA